RNAcentral lists this ribosomal RNA (607 nucleotides) under Cautires sp. UPOL VK0403. RNAcentral describes it as "partial 16S ribosomal RNA". It matches the Rfam family "Bacterial large subunit ribosomal RNA", at positions 1822 to 2715 of the family's 2925-position model. Lineage: Eukaryota; Metazoa; Arthropoda; Insecta; Coleoptera; Lycidae. The record is from RNAcentral.
CAUGUCCUUUAGAAUUUAAUUUAAGGUCUAAUCUGCUCAAUGAAAGUUAAAUAGCCGCAGUAUUUUGACUGUGCAAAGGUAGCAUAAUAAUUAGUUUCUUAAUUGGGAGCUGGAAUGAAUGAUUGGACAAGAAAAUUUCUGUCUCUUUCUUAAUUUUUAUUGAAUUUUAUUUUUAAGUGAAAAAGCUUAAAUUUUUAUAAAAGACGAGAAGACCCUAUAGAGUUUAAUAAUUAAUUCUAAUUAGAGUUUAGUAUUAUUAUUUAGAGUUUGAUUAUUUGGUUGGGGUGACUAAAAGAUUAAAAAAAUUCUUUUAUAAAUUUAAUUGAAUAUUUUCAAUUUUUAAAUCUAUAAUUUAUAAAAUUAAAAUAAAUUACCUUAGGGAUAACAGCGUAAUUUUUCUUUAAAGUUCUUAUUGUUAGAAAAGUUUGCGACCUCGAUGUUGGAUUAAAAUUAAUUUUUGGUGCAAUAACUAAAAAAUUAGGUCUGUUCGACCUUUAAAAUUUUACAUGAUCUGAGUUUAGACCGGUGUGAGCCAGGUCGGAUUCUAUCUUUAGAAAUUUUUUUAUAUUUUAGUACGAAAGGACCAAAUAUGAGUUAAAUUAAUUGU